RNAcentral lists this ribosomal RNA (904 nucleotides) under marine metagenome. Its description in RNAcentral is "bacterial SSU rRNA". It matches the Rfam family "Bacterial small subunit ribosomal RNA", at positions 8 to 896 of the family's 1533-position model. The record is from RNAcentral.
AGAGUUUGAUCCUGGCUCAGGACGAACGCUGGCGGCGUGCUUUAUACAUGCAAGUCAAGGAGAACGCUUUCUUCGGAAAGCAAGUAAACUGGCGAACGGGUUAGUAACGCGUAGGUAACCUGCCCUAGUGAUCGGGAUAACUCUGUGAAAACGGGGCUAAUACCGGAUAAUAUCUACUCUCUCUGGAGUUUAGAUCAAAGUAGGCUUCGGCUUACACAUUAGGAUGGGCCUGCGUCUGAUUAGCUAGUUGGUAAGGUAAUGGCUUACCAAGGCUACGAUCAGUAGGUGGUUCGAGAGGAUGAUCACCAACACUGGGACUGAGAUACGGCCCAGACUUCUACGGGAGGCAGCAGUAAGGAAUUUUGCGCAAUGGCCGAAAGGUUGACGCAGCAACGCCGCGUGAUUGAAGAAGGUUUUAGGACUGUAAAGAUCUGUCAUAAGGGAAGAAAUGUAUUUAUUCUAACAAAAUAUUUGCUUGACGGUACCUUAUUAGAAAGCUCCGGCUAACUUCGUGCCAGCAGCCGCGGUAAUACGAGGGGAGCAAGCGUUGUCCGGAUUUAUUGGGCGUAAAGAGUUCGUAGGCUGAUUUAUAAGUCGAAAUUGAAAUCCAAUGGCUUAACCAUUGUAACGGUUUCGAUACUGUAAAUCUUGAAUUAUGCAGAGGUAAGUGGAAUUCCUGGUGUAGCGGUGAAAUGCGUAGAUAUCAGGAGGAACACCAAAGGCGAAGGCAGCUUACUGGAUAUCAUCUGACGCUGAGGAGCGAAAGCGUGGGUAGCAAACAGGAUUAGAGACCCUGGUAGUCCACGCCGUAAACGAUGAGUACUUGGUGGUGGAAGAUUCGACCCUUUCACUGUCGGAGUUAACGCGUUAAGUACUCCGCCUGGGGACUACGGCCGCAAGGCUG